Cicer arietinum (chickpea) is the source of this 675-nucleotide long non-coding RNA. RefSeq lists it as uncharacterized. The record is from RefSeq and is a predicted model, not a curated record. NCBI's taxonomy places the organism in Eukaryota, Viridiplantae, Streptophyta, Magnoliopsida, Fabales, Fabaceae.
ACCAAAAGAACUCACAUUCAGAUUGCAACCUAUACAACUCUAAACCAUUCUUCUUCUUCCAACCUCUUCCAGAUUGCAACCCGCUCCUUCGACUCAGACCGUUUUAGAUGCCGCCUUGAUGAUUGCUCUCUCUCAAGGUCAUUGUUCUUGCUGCCUUUACUCGAUUAGACACAUUUUGUGCUCUUCAAGACCUGUGACAAUUCAAACAUUUGUUAACCAUAGUGCCUCUGAUCAAGAUCUCCAACAGGUAGUGCACUCACAAUGCAAAACAACUUUACUCUCGGUACUAUUCAAGAUCUCGAAUAGCUGCUGAUAGAGUGGCAAUACAUGAGACAUGGCGUAGAAAGGCUGUUUGGAACCACCGGGGGAAAGACUUUCAUUUGCUAACAGGAAUUCCGGUUACAAGUCCCAUUAUAUCCCUAAUAGUUGGUAGUGAAGAUGAAGCACUGCAAGCAAGCCGAUAUGUUUCAUUCCCUUACUUUCUUUCCCAUCAUUUUUGGUGCUCAAUGAACUAAGUAUCACAUGAGUCUACGACUACAGAAGCUGAUCAUGCUUUUAAUUUUGAUCAACUGCUAGUUACUUUAGUACUAUCUUUUAGUCAUGCAUAGGCACACUUUGUGAUUAGACUGUAAAGUAACACUAAAUAAGUAUGGAGCAACUUUUCCAUAAGCCUAA